This is a non-coding RNA of Cherax quadricarinatus, 2719 nucleotides long. The record is from RefSeq and is a predicted model, not a curated record. Lineage: Eukaryota; Metazoa; Arthropoda; Malacostraca; Decapoda; Parastacidae.
GAUACCACAGGUUUCAUCUGAUUUUCUGGAUGGGUUUGUAGGGCCGCUGACAGCUGACGCCGUAUCGAGCCCUGCCUUCCAAUAUCCAGGAAAGAAACCUCCCCCAAAGUUGACUAAUGGCGGUGUGGCCCGAGCCCUGUAGGAGUCGCAGGUACAUGCCAAGAUCUCUUGACGACACCUGAAGUCAAACCUCUACACAAGGAGUAGGAGUGGUAGGGUCAAGGACUGCAUCCCACAAACGUGCGCAAGGCCACAUGAAGGUCCGUGCAGUGUUAACUGGGGCACCACAGCAGGAAGUGUUCCACCGUCUCAGGUAGAAAGGAACACCGACUGAAGGUAGUGCAAAUGAUUUGUCGGCCGUGAAUGUCCCACGCAGAGGUGGGUCAUCGGUACAUCUACUGACCGAUUGGGAUAACGAGCUCAAGGGCAUGGACCAUCGAGAGACCGGACUGAGCUCAGUGCCGAGAAACAGAGGAAGCGUGCCGGUUACUUUUUUUUUAGUUGUGCUCACUAAGAGGCACAAAAAGCAGGAUUGUAGAGGUUACAAUGUACCUUUGUUACUUCACUAGAAAGAAAUAGUAGUCAUUUCAUAUUUUACAAUUAUUUCACCGAGCUUAUGUGUACAAUACAAUAUGGAAUACAAUCUGCCCAAAAAAUGUUACCAUUGAAAAAAACACAGAUCAUAACUGGGUUGCAAUUUGCUCUAUAAAAAACAGUUGACUCAUCUAGUCUGUAAAAUGUGGAUACAUCCUCAAGAUUUCAGAUUUUAUCAUUAACAAUGGUGUGUUUUGGCAGAUCCUGUAAGGUUUGCAUGGAGGUGUCUGACAGGUUAUAUGUUUGUAUACUAUAAGAUACAAUGUUCUAAGCAGACGCACAAAGGCCAAGAACUAGCCUAUCAUUAUUUUCCUAAACCACCAAAAUAAAGCUGAUCACCUACUAGUGGAUAUAAUUUAAACUCAAUAAAUAUUAAUGCUCAGUUUAUUAUUAUUACAAAUACAUAUAAUGUGAGAAAUUAAUGCUUUCAACACUAUGUUUAAGACAAUGAUGAAUGUAACAGUGAUGCAGGCUCUAACCUCCGUAUCACUGAAUACUGCUCUAAAGUCCGUACUACUGAACACUGCUCUAACCUCUGUACCACUACUUCGCUACACUCGUAUGGGUUCUCCAGCAUAAAUCACAGCACUUUUGUUGUUUUAAAAUCUCAUCUAAACAGAUUUGUGUUCUUAAUGGCUUGGACAGGGACAGGGGUAGGACUGGCCCAUAGUUGGAGUGGCCCAUGGGCAUGGACAGGGGUGGCCCAGGGGCAUGGGUGGCCCAGGGGCAUGGGUGGCCCAGGGGCAUGGGUGGCCCAGGGGCAUGGGUGGCCCAUGGGCAUGGAUGGGGGUGGCCCGUGGGCAGGGGCAUGGACAGAGGUGACCCAUGGUAGGGUGGCCUGUGGGCAGGGGAGGAUCAUGGGAAGGAGUUGCCCAUAGGCAUAAGCAGACCAUGGGCAGGGGUAACUCACGGCCAGGGGCAGACCAUGGCAAGGGUAACCCAUAGACUAGGGCAAACCAUGGACAGGGGUGGCUCAUGGGCAGUUGCAAAUUAUGGGCAGGCUCAGGGCCUGGAUUUCUGGUGUAAAAGUAAUUAGCUUCGUAAUUUCAAAACGGCCACCUGGGGCCCGAAAGGCUCUAUAUAGCUACUCUUUCUGCAUGCACAACUAAAUGUCGCCCAACUCAGUAUAAACAUAUCUCUGAAGACUUGACUAGUCUGCCAGAAAUGCCCCGGCAUGUUAGUGGCUUUCUUUGUACAGGUGCCAGCCGACGCCAUGAGUAUUUGCACAGAGAAAGAUUCAAGACAGCCGAUCAGAAGCCAACAUCUCCUCAUUCAGUGACGAAUAAGACACAUGUGCAACAGUUAGGUAUCUUUAUUCAGAAACGUUCGCGUCUUCACAUCUCUACGCUUCUACAAAACUGUACUCGACUGAAGACGCCUACUGUGUAAGCGAAACCUUUAGGAAUAAAGGUGCCUAACUGUUGUACAUGUGUCUUACUUACCAACAUGUCAGCAUUGUAUACUAUAUUUAUAUUCACCUCCUCACUCAACCUCCCACUGGAACCUGGUCCAGGGCCUGAGAGCAAUGCUCCUCAGUCAUCCUCGUUCUAGUCUACAAGGAUUAUAUUAUCCUGCAACUGCUCCUACACGCCCGCUACCUCUACAGUAACCCCAUAACAGUGGUCCACGGGCAGGGUAAACCAUGGGAAGGAGUGGCCCAUGGCAGGGACUAACUAUGGAAAGGAGUGGCCCCAUGAGUAAGGGUGGUCCACGGGAGGGGUAAACCAUGAGCAGGAGUGGGUCAUUGAAAGUGGUCCAUGGCAUGGGUAGACUAUCGGCAGGGGUGGUCCAUGGGGAGGGAUGACCCAUGACAGGGGUAGACCAUGGGCAGGAGUACUCAGUCAUGCAUGAUACAUCUCAUCUUUUCGUUUUAUAUGUCGCUAUUUUCCGUAGUAAUGACCAUCAAGUUAACGCUGACUUGUAAAGGACUUGACAUGGCCCGUAGAGGACUUGAUGAAUCAGUGAUGCUGCGGACAUGACCAGAUCUAGUUCAUUACCUUUGUAACUUGCUCAGCUAUCAAAACUUUGGAGUCCAGUCCCUGGACCAAUUAUGUACCUCUGUAAUCUUUUGACUACCGCCCACAGGAUGGGUAUGGGGUGCAUAAUAAACAUAUUAAACUGAAAA